This 1235-nucleotide long non-coding RNA is filed under the name Manihot esculenta (cassava). RNAcentral's name for it is "long non-coding RNA (MESC_LNC004954)". Lineage: Eukaryota; Viridiplantae; Streptophyta; Magnoliopsida; Malpighiales; Euphorbiaceae. The record is from RNAcentral.
ACAACUGAGAUAGGCACUGGAUGAUGAUACAUGUAACAUCCUCAAACCCAUAGCUAGAGUAGUGCCAUAAUUAGGUAUGAGUUAGGCUAUUUCAUUACUAGAGACUACAACAAACUGGUCUAAAUAUGGAUGGAAGAUACGAUUCAUCAGAUCCAUGAAUGAUGCAGGUGCAUUUAUUAACCCGAAUGGCAUAACCAGAAACUCAUAAUGUCCAUAUCGUGUCCUGAAUGCAGUCUUAGGCACAUCUAUCCCUUUAACUCUUAACUGAUGGUAACCCGAUCUCAAAUCUAUUUUAGAGAAAAUGUUGGCCCCUUUCAACUGAUCAAACAAAUCAUCUAUUCUGGGCAGUGGAUAUUUAUUCUUGAUAGUUACUUUAUUCAACUGUCUGUAAUCAAUGCACAAUCGAAGAGAUCGCAGUUGACUAUAGCAGAUGAUGGAGCUAUCAUAGCAGAAUUGAAAGUUAAACCCAGCCUACUGCAACAAAUUAAAGAAGCACAAAAAGAAGAUACAGAGAUAACCUUAUGGGCUAGACAAACUCAUACCUAAUGAUGGCACUACUCUAGCUAUGGGUUUGAGGAUGUUACAAUACAACUCCCAUAAUUUAACAUUUGAAUGUUUUUAUAUUCAAUUGCUAGUUGAUUUUGCCAAACAAUGGAAAUAACAGUUAAAACCUUCUCAUACUAAUUACAGUCCAUUAGCACAACCUUUUAUAAUAUCACUUGCCAGAGUUAGUCUGUCCAAACUAGCCUCAUCGACAAUACCAAAUCUCAAAACAGUUUAUUCCAAACUAACAACACCGACGAGCACUGAAGAAAAGACAAAGAAUACAAUGAUUUACAGAACACAUCUUGCAUGCCAGAGAUGGAAUGUAAUGACCUAUACAUCAAAUGGCUAUUAGCGUUAGAAUUCAGAUCGACUUAAAAUCGUCGGAGCCCAUCGUAAGCCUACUAUACAUCAUAUUACACCUCAUGUAAUCUUAUACAUAAUCACACAAGUAUAUAAAAUAUUUCCAUUUCAUUAACAAAAACUUGACAUGUGCAUACAUCAUGACUAAAAAACAUAAAACUCAUGCUAGAGUCCUCAUCAAAUACUUUAGUAUGGUCAAUAUUACAUGCCUAAAGUUUGGUUCAAACAUAACUUAUAUUUUAAAAUUUUUACAUAAAAAGAUCAUAAAUAAAAGAUUAUAAAAGAAAAUUCAGGCAAAAUACAAUUCUAAUCCAUAAUAUGAAAUUACA